Panicum virgatum (switchgrass) is the source of this 1038-nucleotide long non-coding RNA. RefSeq lists it as uncharacterized. The transcript has 3 exons. NCBI's taxonomy places the organism in Eukaryota, Viridiplantae, Streptophyta, Magnoliopsida, Poales, Poaceae. The record is from RefSeq and is a predicted model, not a curated record.
CCCAACAAGGCAAGAGGCAAGAGGAUUAGAGGAAGGAAGCAGGCACCCGUGGCCGUCGCCCCCAAAGCCGUCGCUCCUAGAUUCGCCCGUGGCCGCCGCCCCCGAAACCGAACCCUAGCUGCCGCCCGCCGGCCGUGCUCCCGACUCCCGCGUCCCGCCGGCAGCCGCUUGCGCCCCCAGUGCUCGGCCGCGCAGGGCACAGCCGCGCAGGGCGCGAGCAGGCACAGCCGCAUGCCGCAGCCGCCUUGCUUCCCCAAGCGCACAGCCGCGCAGCGCAGCGGCGUAGGUACAGGCCGACCGGCCGCCGACAGGAGCAGCCCGCCUUGCGCCCCCAGGCGCACAUCCGCGCAGGCCACAGGGCCGACAGCGACAGGCGCAGGCACAGGGCCACAGGCCGACCGCCGACAGGCGCACGGGCCGCGCAGGGGCAACUUGCGGAGUUCCGCUUCUACGAGGGGCAGGAGAUGCGGAUCAAGGAGAAGAUUGUGCCUCUCAAGAUUGACCUCCGAGUGAACAACACUGUAAUCAGAGACCAGUUCUUUUGGGAUAUUGGCAACCUUGAUAGUGACCCUGAGGAAUUUGUGAGGACGCUAUGUGACGAUUUGAACAUCACAGAUCCUGAAGUUGGGGUAUGCUUUAAAUCAUGAAUUCUUAGUGUUCGGUGUAAUGAACUUCUAAUUCAGCUGAAGCAGCAGCUUUUAUGAUGAGGGUUUCCCAUCUUAGCUGGCCCGUAUUUACACAUUUGCAAUACCCCCAAUUGUCAUACGGGUGCGGUUACUAGAUGAGAAGGGCAUGCAUUAAACUUUGUUGUAAUUGCAAGUCAAGCAAACUGCCACUAUUAUUAUUGCCAAAUCUUUCUAAUUUUCCGUGGAUGUGGAACUCGCGAUUGGCUUAGUCGUAAUUUGCUGUUACAUGAAUAUGAAUAUUUCUUGCACUGCAAUUCUUUUCGUUUAAAUACUUGUGUGCACUACAUCAAAAAGGCAUUUCAAAAGAAGAAAGAUAGGAAUAUGAAAUUGCUGAAGUAUCCUAGACGCAACU